Small nuclear RNA from Cebus imitator (Panamanian white-faced capuchin), 107 nucleotides. The record is from RefSeq and is a predicted model, not a curated record. Lineage: Eukaryota; Metazoa; Chordata; Mammalia; Primates; Cebidae.
GCGCCUACAUUGGCAACACAUAUUCUAAAAUUGGAACAAUACAGAGAAGAUCAGCAUGCCCGUGUGUAAGAAUAACAUGCAAAUUUUUGAACGCUCCAUAUAUUUUU